AAAAAGAUCAAUAGACUAUUUCAAGUCUCAAGUAUCUUAUUAUUUUUGUAAUAAAACUGGAUUAUCAAGCUAAAUAACUUUCAAAAGACUGGAGAAAAGAAUGAUGAAUCAUUUAAUAAACAAUCCACACUUACCAGCUGUAAGGACAGAUGCUGAAUAAUUAUAUUUGUUGAAUUCCAAAUACUCCCGAAUUAAUUCAUUAAUUAGGAGGUUUUCAUGAGAUAGGGGUGGAGGUUUUUCACCUUGAUCAUCUAGGGCAUUGAAGACUUCAGCUCUGAUCGUUGCUCUUAACUGGCCCAGUACACCCCUUUUUUCCAGUGUAUCCUUUAAAACUAAUAAAUAAGAUAUAACAUUUUAGUGCAAGAAUUUCAAGUAAAAUCACUGAUCAUUCUUAUAUGUACUGUUAUUGAAUAACUGGGGUAACAGAUGUAACUGGGGACACAAAUCAUUAUCAACAAAGCAAUAAAUAAUAGUUUCAGACAAAGUCUAGGGGCUUUUUUCUAAACACCCUCAUGGACCCUCCAAAUCUAGUAGUAGCUUACUUCCCCAUUUACAAAUACUUAGCAAAUAAUUGUUUAAGGGUACCAUAGACCUCCAACUCCAUUUCUCCCUAGUGUUCUUUUAAGCUCAAUUAGCCAUUUUCCAAGGAUAACUCAUGAUAUAUAGAAAUAAAACAAAAAAAAAAAAAAAGAAAAUGUCUAUUCUAAGGGAAACUAGAGUUGACUCAUGCAGCAACAAGAUUUUGCCCCUGGAACGUCCCAACUCAAUCCUAAAACCCCCCACAGCGGAGGACGUGCUGGCCCCCAAGAUCAAGGGUAAAUCCCCUACCUUCUCAAAGGUGUUUAAGCACACUUGAAGGAGGUAGGUAGUCCGAAAGCUACAGCGCAGGACCACGGAGUCACAAAGACUAAGCUAGUCACUUAGAACAAAGCCUGGGUGCAAUAAAUGUAGGUUCCCUAGUCAAGUGACCCAGAACAAUUCCGACUAUAAGGAAAGAUGGGGGGUGGGGUGGGGGUGGGGAAGAUGAGUAUAGCGAUGAGAUGUGGGAGUCUGAACGUGUUUAGGGAUUUGAGAAACGUUCGGACUUCCCACGCCCCUUCUUCCCCUCCCCCCUUCCCAAGGGUCUAGUAGACGAGGCAACUACGGUGUCUUUUGCCUCUUUGUAUUGCCAGCGCGGGGUCUUUCCAAAAUAUAAAACUAUUAGGAAAAAUAUGAACCGAGCAGGCGUUCGAUGACUGCUAACUGGCCAAUGAAUUAAUCAACAAUCAUUUAUUAGCGUCUACUCCGUGCCGAGUUCGAGGCUAAGCGCUGGAGAUACAAAAAGUACCUCAGUACAGCAAGCCCUCGGCUUCCGGGAGCCUACCCUUUAACGGGGAUUACAAAGCCCUCCUCAGUGCGCGCUCGGCCAGCUCGCCUUGGGGGCCGAGGCCCGGGCCUGGCCCGCCCGCUCCCUUCGUCCCGAUCCCCUCCCCAGCCCGUCCCAGCUCGCAGGCCGCUCCGCCGCCUCUCCGCUCCACAUACGUCCCAGACCGAACUGCCCAGGCUGCGGGCCUGCUCCUCAGCUACCUGCUUUGAGCUCCGAGACCGUCGCCAUUUUCCAACGGCCGCCCGGGGAAAAAGAAAGGUGGGUCUGGGCUAGAAUGGGCUGAGGCGAGCGCGCCUGCGCAGCACGCCGCCCCGCCCUUCAGAGGCUUGAACGCCCCCGGGGGCGCCGCUUGUCACGCCCCGCCCCGGGUUAUCUCCGGCCUUUAAAGCUAAAGGGAGCAUUUGCGCAGACGCCGCUUUGCGCAGACGCCGCUUUGCGCAGACGCCGCUUUGCGCAGACGCC
Molecule: long non-coding RNA, 1828 nt
Filed under: Sarcophilus harrisii (Tasmanian devil)
Lineage: Eukaryota; Metazoa; Chordata; Mammalia; Dasyuromorphia; Dasyuridae
Description: lncRNA (ENSSHAG00000021792.1)
Source: RNAcentral